GCUUCCAGGAGGAUCUGCCCCAUCAUCUUCCCUGGCACAGAGGCUGGGGUUUCUUGAGGCUUAUGGAACUGGCUGUUUGCUGCUUGCCUUUCCUGCUCACCAGGCACUGGGAGAUGCUUGCUACGAAGCUGACCAUGGAAAUGACUCCAUGCUCUUUUCUGACUAUGUGGUUGGAUCCACGCAGUAUCUUCAGUGGCAAGGCCAGAGCAUUUCUAGGAGCUUUCUUCUCAGAGAUGGUCCCUAUGCCUUACGCUUCCCCCUGUGGUGCUGAAGGCAGAAGGCUGCUGGGCACUGCUUCUGGUCUGCCUGAUCCUGCACGUCUGGGGGAGUAGGAGAUGACUGAAAGAGCAGCUAGCACUACAUUGAAUUCCUGAUCACGUUCCCAAACCCCACAUCAUGCAGAUUUCUCAAGAGAAAACUUUCGCUUGGAGAAAACUGUUGCUCCAGCAGAAUGAAAUGAGGAUUAUGAAGGUGAAUCCUGUGCCAAGAGUAAUGUUGUAAAUAAUAAUUCUGUCUGUUAAUAAGACGAGAAAUUGAGACCUCAGAUUUGCUACCCUUACUCUGUGCUUCUUUUGCCUGUUUCUUUGUUCUCUUUGCCUUUACCGACUCAAGGAAUUUUAAUUAGUAGCUUUGACUUUUUCUCUCUUUCCAAAACUGAUCAGUAAAUGCAAUGUGAGAAAAGUGACAACAAUCUUAGCAGUACCAAAGCCUUGCUGAGUUUACUGUCCUGUUUAUGAUUGUGAUCUUGACAGAUCGUGGCAAAGUGAUAUCUUUCAAAGUAGAACAGUAGAAGGAAAGAGAAAAUCUGA
Meleagris gallopavo (turkey) is the source of this 809-nucleotide non-coding RNA. The record is from RefSeq and is a predicted model, not a curated record. Lineage: Eukaryota; Metazoa; Chordata; Aves; Galliformes; Phasianidae.